This 580-nucleotide long non-coding RNA is filed under the name Felis catus (domestic cat). RNAcentral describes it as "lncRNA (ENSFCAG00000044179.2)". The record is from RNAcentral. Lineage: Eukaryota; Metazoa; Chordata; Mammalia; Carnivora; Felidae.
GGACGAUACACUUUUGGAGUAAGGCACGCUCCUUCCUCACCUCUGGACCUCCACUCUGCUCCGCCUCCCCUGACUCUGUGUCUCAGCUGCCCCAAGAGGCCCAUGGGUCCGUUCACCGUGCUCCACCUCCAAUGCCACUACCCUCUCUGAGCUGCCCGGAUGACGAGGAUGGUCCGUCAGCUGUGCGCCCGCGGCUCUUACUGGCCCCCGCACCAGAGUCCACACUGCAGCUAGAGUGACCUUAACACACGUUCAGCAGCUGCCUGCUCACUGGUGUCUGAAGAGAAGGCUAUCCAAAGCCAAACUUGAAGGUAGACGAAGUCACGGACCCACCGUUUCUUGAGGAGCUCUUAUGUGCCAGGAGCCGUCUCGUUUGAUCAUCAUGCAACCCUCCCGGGUCUGUACUUGGGAAACCAAGGAGUUUAAACAGACCAUCUCCAGCGUUGACCAAGGUUUUAUUUAUUUACUUAAAUGUUUCUUUAUUUGUGUGUGUGUGAGAGAGAGAGAGCAUGAGCAGGGGAGGGGCAGAGAGAGAGAGAGAGAGAGAGAGACAGAAUCCAAAGCAGGCUCCAGGCUCUGA